GCCGUCAGACUGAUCCUGACUGAGGCCGAGGAAGUUGUAGGGCGCGACGGGGACGUUGUUUCCGUAGACGAAUGGGGACCACACGUCUUCUUCCUUAUGACCUUGGUAGGAGGGAGGGAUUGAGGUUCGGUACGUGACUUGCUGGUUCCUAUAGCUGACGUAGGUGCUGAGACGGUCGUAGUAGAUGCCGAUUUUGUCGUUGGGGUUGCGCGAGGAAAGCGUGACCUGAAAACUUGAGGUGAGGAGGUUCGGGACGGUGGCGUUGAACCCGAACACGGUGACGUCUUGGAGGAUGAAGGUUGGCUUGGUUGGCUUGAGAAUCGCCCAGAUUAUGAGAACCGUGAGCAGCACGAUGAACGCGAAGAUGAC
Molecule: long non-coding RNA, 369 nt
Filed under: Vigna radiata
Lineage: Eukaryota; Viridiplantae; Streptophyta; Magnoliopsida; Fabales; Fabaceae
Description: long non-coding RNA (VRAD_LNC002422)
Source: RNAcentral